ACAAUAGCCAGGGCCUCCAUACUUGUUCUCACACUUCAAAAAGGAUCUACACUAUAGAAAUAAAGAAGAAAAAUUUCAAUUUUGAUCAUUGUCUGUAUACGAUGGCUGGAUUACAGAGAUCGGCGACAUCGUUCCGGCGACAAGGCUCAUCAGGACUAGUAUGGGAUGACAAAUUAGUGACAGCAUCAGGUGAAUUGAUUCAGCUUGGAAAUCCACGAGGAGAAACUACUAUUAAAACUGAUAGAGAAAGAGAAGAAAAGCCUAAAUUGGAAGCGUCGGUGCCUGAUAAGGCUUCAUCAAAAACGGCUGGAUCCAUGGAGAGGAGCCGAUCUAAUCGCGGUUUCCGAACCGGUAAGGUGUCACCGGCGAUUGAACCGCCUUCUCCUAAAGUAUCUGCAUGUGGAUUCUGUAGCGCUUUUGGGAAGAAUGAUAAAUCUAACCGCCGACCUAAAUCCGGUAAGCGUAAGAUGUAAUAUUAUUCCGGUGAAAUUGCGAUUAGGUCAGAAUUGGAUGGCGCAAUUAACGUUCAUCUCAAUAAGGAUGAGGUGUGAGAAUUUUGGUGCUAGAAGACAACUGUACUACUUGUUUUUAUGCAUUUUUGGCUUUUUCUCUGCCUUCUUUAGGUUCUGCAGGGGACAAUUUCUUCCAGUGUCUUACUUUUCCUGAUUGCCUGAUAAUCUAUGUGCAUAAGCUUUAGCUUUUUACCUUUUUCGUCAAGCCGCAAUGAAUCAUUUCUCGUUGUACAAAGUUGAAUCUGAAAUUGGGACAUCUCUUGCUUUAUCUUCUGAUUAUGUGAAUCCGAGUAUAUCUCAUGUUUAUCUUCUGUAUACUAGUAUGCUUAUUGUAUACACUAUUUCUCUCUCCCCAUAUAUUAUACUCAUGUAUAGUUG
Molecule: unclassified non-coding RNA, 890 nt
Filed under: Hevea brasiliensis (rubber tree)
Lineage: Eukaryota; Viridiplantae; Streptophyta; Magnoliopsida; Malpighiales; Euphorbiaceae
Source: RNAcentral